Castor canadensis (American beaver) is the source of this 1189-nucleotide non-coding RNA. The record is from RefSeq and is a predicted model, not a curated record. NCBI's taxonomy places the organism in Eukaryota, Metazoa, Chordata, Mammalia, Rodentia, Castoridae.
AUGUCUGCGAGUCAGGAUUCCGAUCCAGAGACAAUGGCCCUGAUGGGAUGGAGCCAGAGGCAUCAUGGAGAGUAAGUGGAAUAAGAUUGUUUACAGCUUUGAUGACUUGAACCUUUCUGAGUCCCUCUCCAUGGCAUCUAUGCCUAUGGUUUUGAGAAGCCCUCUGCCAUCCAACAGCGAGCCAUUUUUCCUUGCAUCAAGGGUUAUGAUGUGAUUGCUCAAGCCCAAUCUAGGACUGGGAAAACAGCCACAUUUGCCAUAUCAAUUCUGCAGUAGAUUAAAUUAGAUCUAAAGGCCACACAGGCCUUGGUCCUGGCACCCACUCAAGAAUUAGCUCAACAGAUACAAAAAGUGGUCUUGGCAUUAGGAGAUUACAUGAGUGCCUCCUGUCAUGCCUGUAUCUGAGGCACCAAAUGCAUGCUGAAGUACAGAAGUUGCAGAUGGAAGCUCCCCAUAUCAUUCUGGGUAAUCAGCGAUAUCUAUCUCCCAAAUACAUCAAAAUGUUUGUACUGGAUGAGGCUGACGAAAUGUUGAGCCAUGGAUUUAAGGACCAGAUCUAUGAUAUAUUCCAGAAGCUCAACAGCAACACCCAGGUAGUUUUGUUGUCAGCCACAAUACCUUCAGAUGUUCUGGAGGUGACCAAAAGUUCAUGAGGGACCCCAUUCGAAUUCUUGUCAAGAAGGAAGAGUUGACCCUGGAAGGUAUCUGCCAAUUCUACCUUAAUGUGGAACGAGAGGAGUGGAAGCUUGACACUCUCUGUGACUUGUAUGAAACCCUGACCAUCACCCAGGCAGUCAUCUUCAUCAGCACCCGAAGGAAGGUCGAUUGGCUUACUGAGAAGAUGCAUGCCCGAGACUUCACAGUCUCUGCCAUUCAUGGAGACAUGUACCAAAAGGAACAAGAUGUGAUUUUGAUGGAGUUCUGAUCCUUCUCUAGCAGAGUAUUGAUUACCAAUGACCUGCUGGCCAGAGGCAUUGAUGUGCAGCAAGUUUCCUUAGUCAUCAACUAUGACCUUCCCACCAACAGAGAAAACUACAUCCACAGAAUUGGUUGUGGUGGUCCUUUUGGGGGCAAAGGUGUGGCUAUUAACAUGGUAACAGAAGAAGACAAGAGGACUCAUAGAGACAUUGAAACCUUCUACAACACCUCCAUUGAAGAGAUGCCUCUCAGUAUUGCUGACCUCAUUUGA